Molecule: long non-coding RNA, 1206 nt
Organism: Nilaparvata lugens (brown planthopper)
Lineage: Eukaryota; Metazoa; Arthropoda; Insecta; Hemiptera; Delphacidae
Exons: 3
Source: RefSeq, a predicted model, not a curated record
GAUUUUCAAUUUUCUCGAAACAAUGUAUUUUUGAUGACUUAUUCUGGUGUAUAAGUGAAUUUCGAGUACAUUUUGCCCUCUGCGAAAAUCCUGUCAGACGUGCCGUUAACGUGCUACUGACGUUUAAAUUUUUUUUUUAAUUGUAUUUUAUUAUUAAAAAUUCUGAAAAUAAUCAUGAGCGUUUCUGUUCAUAUUUUAAAUCUUAUCCUAGAAUUUCAAAUGAUUCUAUCCAAAAUUAGAAAAGUUAUACCACUUUUUAAAAUUAUAUCACAGUUUAUGGGGAAAAUCGUGCAGUAUCUGAACUAUACACACUUGAACUUUGAAUGAUUUCAAUUCAAAUAAUAACUACUUCUACUAUUUAUCGAUUCCAACAUUAUUUCAGUGUCAAGCGUCCCCCCAUAAAAAUCAUUAACCCGCACCUGAAAUAUCAAUUUUUUAAUAAGAUUGUCAAUAUCAUUAAUUUUGAAAUUCCCACCAUCCAUAAGCCUACUAUGGUAUCGAAUUAAACUAUCAAUAUAUUAUGAGAUGAAUGUAUCGAAGUUUCAACAAUCGAUAUAUUAAACAAACAAAUUCCAACUUUUUUCUGGGGCAAACUGGUUUUAUUGCAUUGAACAAUGUAGAAAUUAGGACAGUAUUUCACUUUUACUUAUUUAAAAUAUGUAAUUUGAAUAAUGCAUUCCCAAACAAGUUUAAAAAUGUAUAAUUAUAAAUAAUCAAAUAUCGAUGAUAUAUUGAUACUUCCAUAGUAGGUUUUUUGAUCAUGGGAAAGCGGUUGUUGGUAGGAAUGGCAGGAAUGGCUUGUAAUUGUAACGAUUGGGCUUUGGAUUGUAACGGAUUUUUUGGUGCCUGUUGUAUUGUGAUUUUUGUGAAAGAUCCAGUUUAAGGAGCUGUGGUGAUAAAAUUUUCCAACACAAAAGAAAAAGACAUGGAAGCAGUAAUCAAAGACUGGCUGAAGUCUUCAAAAAUUCGGUUUACCAGUAAAGAGAAAUCUAAAAAAUGUUCAAACACCGGAUCCUGGAGAAAAAUCUGAAUACUUCAAAAAUUGAGAUAGAAUUGAGGUGCAGUAACAUAAACCCGUAUGUAGCUCAAAUAAUUGCUACUUCAAACAGGAAGAGAAUAAAGUAAUCUGGAGCACCACAAUAAGGACCUUUCUUCAUAGAUAAAUGAUAUGCAUAUAGUUAUUUUAAUAAACAACUUUUCACAUUA